ACCGAUACUGACGCUGAGACGCGAAAGCGCGGGUAGCAAACAGGAUUAGAUACCCUGGUAGUCACGCCGUAAACGAUGAGUACUAGGUGUUGCGGGUAUUGACCCCUGCAGUGCCGUAGCUAACGCAUUAAGUACUCCGCCUGGGAAGUACGGUCGCAAGACUAAAACUCAAAGGAAUUGACGGGGGCCCGCACAAGCGGUGGAGCAUGUGGUUUAAUUCGAAGCAACGCGAAGAACCUUACCUAGACUUGACAUCUCCUGAAUUACCCUUAACCGGGGAAGCCCUUCGGGGCAGGAAGACAGGUGGUGCAUGGUUGUCGUCAGCUCGUGUCGUGAGAUGUUGGGUUAAGUCCCGCAACGAGCGCAACCCUUAUCAUUAGUUGCUACCAUUAAGUUGAGCACUCUAGUGAGACUGCCACGGUUAACGUGGAGGAAGGUGGGGAUGACGUCAAAUCAUCAUGCCCCUUAUGUCUAGGGCUACACACGUGCUACAAUGGUGAAUACAAAGAGAUGCAAUACCGCGAGGUGGAGCCAAACUCAAAAAUUCAUCCCAGUUCGGAUUGUAGGCUGAAACUCGCCUACAUGAAGCCGGAGUUGCUAGUAAUCGCGAAUCAGCAUGUCGCGGUGAAUACGUUCCCGGGCCUUGUACACACCGCCCGUCACACCAUGAGAGCUGGUAACACCCGAAGUCCGUGAGGUAACCCGCAAGGGAGCCAGCGGCCGAAGGUGGGAUCAGUGAUUGGGGUGAAGUCGUAACAAGGUAGCCGUAGGAGAACCUGCGGCUGGAUCACCUCCUU
RNAcentral lists this ribosomal RNA (797 nucleotides) under uncultured bacterium. RNAcentral's name for it is "bacterial SSU rRNA". It matches the Rfam family "Bacterial small subunit ribosomal RNA", at positions 733 to 1532 of the family's 1533-position model. The record is from RNAcentral.